This 253-nucleotide ribosomal RNA is filed under the name uncultured bacterium. Its description in RNAcentral is "partial 16S ribosomal RNA". It matches the Rfam family "Bacterial small subunit ribosomal RNA", at positions 524 to 776 of the family's 1533-position model. The record is from RNAcentral.
UACGUAGGUGACAAGCGUUGUCCGGAUUUACUGGGCGUAAAGGGUGCGUAGGCGGUCGGAUAAGUCUGAUGUGAAAUCUUCGAGCUCAACUCGGAAACUGCAUCGGAAACUAUUCGGCUGGAGGAUUGGAGGGGAGACUGGAAUUCUCGGUGUAGCAGUGAAAUGCGUAGAUAUCGAGAGGAACACCAGUGGCGAAGGCGAGUCUCUGGACAAUUCCUGACGCUGAGGCACGAAAGCUAGGGGAGCAAACAGG